AGUUUGACUGUUAAAACUGAUAAAACUGAUAAAACUCCUAAUAUAUCCUUCAAUAUGCAAGGAGUGAUACACAGAAACCUGUAUCAAACGUGAAAGCUUACAGAUCACACUGAAACCACUGGAUGGCUCUACAGACUUUGCAAACAUUUACGCUUGCAUCUAGGAGAAAUUUGAGGACUAUUUCAUGAGAUUCUUUGAGCAGAGAAACUUAAUACUCCCAAUUCAAAACGCAGAUGGCACCACGCGAGGUCAGAGAAAGAGGCAAGAAGUUUUAGUCAACCUGUCUUUGAUUAUUGGCUUGCCAUAUGCAGUCUACGUGUACUUGAUCAUCGCUUAACUUUUUAGCCUGUUUCUCAUGUAUGAAACGAGAAUAAUGAUAUCCAGCUCAUGGGUUGUUUAAAGGAAUACAUGACAUGAUAAGGUGAAGAGGAACAGAUGCUGCCAUGAAAGGGGUUUCCUAGAAAGUGGUGAAGAGACCAUAGCCUAAUGCAAGUAGAGAAUUGGGACCAGGAAAAAUAAAGCCAUGAAAUAAUGAGUCUGCUGUAUUAGAGAGCUACUAUGUUAUGAUAUCUCAAACUAAUAUUUGAGACUCCUUGGCUUGAUAACUAUGAUUCCAUUGAAGAUGACUAUUGAGUUGAAUGGCUCUGUUUUCCAUCAACGAUGACAGCUUUUAAUCACAGAUCUCAAGCCCAUUAUGAACAUUAAUUAAUGUCUGACAUCGCUUAAUGAGAUAGAGUCUUGCCCUGUUGCCCAGGCUGGAGUGCCGUGGC
This 770-nucleotide long non-coding RNA is filed under the name Homo sapiens (human). RNAcentral's name for it is "HSALNT0328529". Lineage: Eukaryota; Metazoa; Chordata; Mammalia; Primates; Hominidae. The record is from RNAcentral.